CAACCCUCAGCGUGGACGCUGGCAGCUGCGACCUCUCAUGAAAGGGUGCGGAUGGCCUCUGGUGAACUGGAUGAGGUCUCUGUUGUUGUGGUGAUGAAAGAAGAUAACAUAAAAACAGAAAAAUGGCGAAGAGCACAGAUUCCACAGCCUAAUGUCCUGAGUUUAAAUUCCUACUCUGCCAUUUACCAGUUUUAUGUUAUGAACAUCAGGUGGUAGCCACAACGAAGAAAUACAUUUUCUGGCAGCUGUGAAUGUUAUCCUUCCC
Molecule: long non-coding RNA, 265 nt
Filed under: Homo sapiens (human)
Lineage: Eukaryota; Metazoa; Chordata; Mammalia; Primates; Hominidae
Description: HSALNT0338365
Source: RNAcentral